RNAcentral lists this long non-coding RNA (673 nucleotides) under Homo sapiens (human). Its description in RNAcentral is "HSALNT0018784". The record is from RNAcentral. Lineage: Eukaryota; Metazoa; Chordata; Mammalia; Primates; Hominidae.
AUUUUAUUGUCACAAACAACAGGAGUUGCCAUUCCAUUACAUGCUUCAAGCUUAGAUGAUGUUUCUCUUGCAUCAACUCCAAAACGUCCAAGUACAUCACAGACUGUUUCCACUCCUGCUCCAGUACCUGUUAUUGAAUCAACAGAGGCUAUAGAGGCUAAGGCUGCCCUUAAACAGUUGCAGGAAAUUUUUGAGAACUACAAAAAAGAAAAAGCAGAAAAUGAAAAAAUACAAAAUGAGCAGCUUGAGAAACUUCAAGAACAAGUUACAGAUUUGCGAUCACAAAAUACCAAAAUUUCUACCCAGCUAGAUUUUGCUUCUAAACGGUAAGAGCAGAAAAUUUGAAGAAGGAAAAGGAAAUGCUUAAAUUGUCUGAAGUUCGUCUUUCUCAGCAAAGAGAGUCUUUGUUAGCUGAACAAAGGGGGCAAAACUUACUGCUAACUAAUCUGCAAACAAUUCAGGGAAUACUGGAGCGAUCUGAAACAGAAACCAAACAAAGGCUUAGUAGCCAGAUAGAAAAACUGGAACAUGAGAUCUCUCAUCUAAAGAAGAAGUUGGAAAAUGAGGUGGAACAAAGGCAUACACUUACUAGAAAUCUAGAUGUUCAACUUUUAGAUACAAAGAGACAACUGGAUACAGAGACAAAUCUUCAUCUUAACACAAAAGAACUAUU